UGAAGAUCUUGAUGAGUUAUUUCAUGGCUUC
This 31-nucleotide non-coding RNA is filed under the name Mus musculus (house mouse). Lineage: Eukaryota; Metazoa; Chordata; Mammalia; Rodentia; Muridae. The record is from RNAcentral.